GGUUAAGCGACUAAGCGUACACGGUGGAUGCCCUGGCAGUCAGAGGCGAUGAAGGACGUGCUAAUCUGCGAUAAGCGCCGGUAAGGUGAUAUGAACCGUUAUAACCGGCGAUUUCCGAAUGGGGAAACCCAGUGUGAUUCGUCACACUAUCAUUAACUGAAUCCAUAGGUUAAUGAGGCGAACCGGGGGAACUGAAACAUCUAAGUACCCCGAGGAAAAGAAAUCAACCGAGAUUCCCCCAGUAGCGGCGAGCGAACGGGGAGGAGCCCAGAGCCUGAAUCAGCAUGUGUGUUAGUGGAAGCGUCUGGAAAGACGCGCGAUACAGGGUGACAGCCCCGUACACAAAAGCGCAUGUGCUGUGAGCUCGAUGAGUAGGGCGGGACACGUGGUAUCCUGUCUGAAUAUGGGGGGACCAUCCUCCAAGGCUAAAUACUCCUGACUGACCGAUAGUGAACCAGUACCGUGAGGGAAAGGCGAAAAGAACCCCGGCGAGGGGAGUGAAAAAGAACCUGAAACCGUGUACGUACAAGCAGUGGGAGCACCCUUCGGGGUGUGACUGCGUACCUUUUGUAUAAUGGGUCAGCGACUUAUAUUCUGUAGCAAGGUUAACCGAAUAGGGGAGCCGGAGGGAAACCGAGUCUUAACCGGGCGUUAAGUUGCAGGGUAUAGACCCGAAACCCGGUGAUCUAGCCAUGGGCAGGUUGAAGGUUGGGUAACACUAACUGGAGGACCGAACCGACUAAUGUUGAAAAAUUAGCGGAUGACCUGUGGCUGGGGGUGAAAGGCCAAUCAAACCGGGAGAUAGCUGGUUCUCCCCGAAAGCUAUUUAGGUAGCGCCUCGUGAAUUCAUCUCCGGGGGUAGAGCACUGUUUCGGCUAGGGGGCCAUCCCGGCUUACCAACCCGAUGCAAACUGCGAAUACCGGAGAAUGUUAUCACGGGAGACACACGGCGGGUGCUAACGUCCGUCGUGAAGAGGGAAACAACCCAGACCGCCAGCUAAGGUCCCAAAGUCAUGGUUAAGUGGGAAACGAUGUGGGAAGGCCCAGACAGCCAGGAUGUUGGCUUAGAAGCAGCCAUCAUUUAAAGAAAGCGUAAUAGCUCACUGGUCGAGUCGGCCUGCGCGGAAGAUGUAACGGGGCUAAACCAUGCACCGAAGCUGCGGCAGCGACACUGUGUGUUGUUGGGUAGGGGAGCGUUCUGUAAGCCUGCGAAGGUGGCCUGUGAGGGUUGCUGGAGGUAUCAGAAGUGCGAAUGCUGACAUAAGUAACGAUAAAGCGGGUGAAAAGCCCGCUCGCCGGAAGACCAAGGGUUCCUGUCCAACGUUAAUCGGGGCAGGGUGAGUCGACCCCUAAGGCGAGGCCGAAAGGCGUAGUCGAUGGGAAACGGGUUAAUAUUCCCGUACUUGGUGUUACUGCGAAGGGGGGACGGAGAAGGCUAUGUUGGCCGGGCGACGGUUGUCCCGGUUUAAGCGUGUAGGUGUGUGUUCCAGGUAAAUCCGGUUCACUUUAACACUGAGGCGUGAUGACGAGGCACUACGGUGCUGAAGCAACAAAUGCCCUGCUUCCAGGAAAAGCCUCUAAGCAUCAGGUAACAUCAAAUCGUACCCCAAACCGACACAGGUGGUCAGGUAGAGAAUACCAAGGCGCUUGAGAGAACUCGGGUGAAGGAACUAGGCAAAAUGGUGCCGUAACUUCGGGAGAAGGCACGCUGACACGUAGGUGAAGUGAUUUACUCACGGAGCUGAAGUCAGUCGAAGAUACCAGCUGGCUGCAACUGUUUAUUAAAAACACAGCACUGUGCAAACACGAAAGUGGACGUAUACGGUGUGACGCCUGCCCGGUGCCGGAAGGUUAAUUGAUGGGGUCAGCGCAAGCGAAGCUCCUGAUCGAAGCCCCGGUAAACGGCGGCCGUAACUAUAACGGUCCUAAGGUAGCGAAAUUCCUUGUCGGGUAAGUUCCGACCUGCACGAAUGGCGUAAUGAUGGCCAGGCUGUCUCCACCCGAGACUCAGUGAAAUUGAACUCGCUGUGAAGAUGCAGUGUACCCGCGGCAAGACGGAAAGACCCCGUGAACCUUUACUAUAGCUUGACACUGAACAUUGAGCCUUGAUGUGUAGGAUAGGUGGGAGGCUUUGAAGUGUGGACGCCAGUCUGCAUGGAGCCGACCUUGAAAUACCACCCUUUAAUGUUUGAUGUUCUAACGUGGACCCGUGAUCCGGGUUGCGGACAGUGUCUGGUGGGUAGUUUGACUGGGGCGGUCUCCUCCUAAAGAGUAACGGAGGAGCACGAAGGUUGGCUAAUCCUGGUCGGACAUCAGGAGGUUAGUGCAAUGGCAUAAGCCAGCUUGACUGCGAGCGUGACGGCGCGAGCAGGUGCGAAAGCAGGUCAUAGUGAUCCGGUGGUUCUGAAUGGAAGGGCCAUCGCUCAACGGAUAAAAGGUACUCCGGGGAUAACAGGCUGAUACCGCCCAAGAGUUCAUAUCGACGGCGGUGUUUGGCACCUCGAUGUCGGCUCAUCACAUCCUGGGGCUGAAGUAGGUCCCAAGGGUAUGGCUGUUCGCCAUUUAAAGUGGUACGCGAGCUGGGUUUAGAACGUCGUGAGACAGUUCGGUCCCUAUCUGCCGUGGGCGCUGGAGAACUGAGGGGGGCUGCUCCUAGUACGAGAGGACCGGAGUGGACGCAUCACUGGUGUUCGGGUUGUCAUGCCAAUGGCACUGCCCGGUAGCUAAAUGCGGAAGAGAUAAGUGCUGAAAGCAUCUAAGCACGAAACUUGCCCCGAGAUGAGUUCUCCCUGAGACUUAGAGUCUCCUGAAGGAACGUUGAAGACGACGACGUUGAUAGGCCGGGUGUGUAAGCGCAGCGAUGCGUUGAGCUAACCGGUACUAAUGAACCGUGAGGCUUAACCUU
RNAcentral lists this ribosomal RNA (2905 nucleotides) under Salmonella enterica. RNAcentral describes it as "23S ribosomal RNA". It matches the Rfam family "Bacterial large subunit ribosomal RNA". The record is from RNAcentral. RNAcentral also lists the same sequence under 1 other name. Lineage: Bacteria; Pseudomonadati; Pseudomonadota; Gammaproteobacteria; Enterobacterales; Enterobacteriaceae.